This 465-nucleotide ribosomal RNA is filed under the name uncultured bacterium. RNAcentral's name for it is "partial 16S ribosomal RNA". It matches the Rfam family "Bacterial small subunit ribosomal RNA", at positions 338 to 795 of the family's 1533-position model. The record is from RNAcentral.
CCUACGGGUGGCAGCAGUGGGGAAUAUUGCGCAAUGGGCGAAAGCCUGACGCAGCGACGCCGCGUGAGGGAUGAAGGUCUUCGGAUCGUAAACCUCUGUCAGCAGGGAAGAACGGUCACUGUGCUAAUCAGCAGUGAAUUGACGGUACCUGCAAAGGAAGCACCGGCUAACUCCGUGCCAGCAGCCGCGGUAAUACGGAGGGUGCGAGCGUUAAUCGGAAUUACUGGGCGUAAGGCGCUCGUAGGCGGUAUGUCAAGUCAAGGGUGAAAUCCCCGCGCUCAACGUGGGAACUGCCUUUGAAACGGGAAAACUGGAGUGUGUGAGAGGAUAGUGGAAUUCCAGGUGUAGGAGUGAAAGCCGUAGAUAUCUGGAGGAACAUCAGUGGCGAAGGCGACUAUCUGGCACAUAACUGACGCUGAGGAGCGAAAGCGUGGGUAGCAAACAGGAUUAGAUACCCCUGUAGUC